This 650-nucleotide long non-coding RNA is filed under the name Phoenix dactylifera (date palm). Its description in RNAcentral is "long non-coding RNA (PDAC_LNC013687)". The record is from RNAcentral. Lineage: Eukaryota; Viridiplantae; Streptophyta; Magnoliopsida; Arecales; Arecaceae.
CGAUGAUCCGUGGAGCUGAUCUGGCUGACGGGAAGGAGGCUGAAAUCAUGGUGACUGCUGAUUUCCUCCUUCACGGUGGCUGGAUCAUGGCUUGAUUGGUGCUGGGACGUUCAUCGCGUGAAGAACGCGGGCUGCUGGGGCGGACGUGGGAGGCUGGAUCACGACUUGGAGCGGCUGAAGAUCAAGGUUUGGAUGCGGUUGGAGGAGAAACGGACGCGUGAUCCUCUCUUCUCCCCUGUUUCCGCACGGGCUGGGAUUUGAUCUGGAAGAUGAGCAUUGGGACGUUGUGGCUUGCUGAUUUGGAAUUCCUUCUUUGGACCACUGUUGGGAGGCGGGAGUGCAUCACGGUGGGAAGAAGCUCUGUGGAUCAUUUGUGAUGUGCGGAAGAGCUGGAAUGCUAGGAGGACGCCGAUCGUGGCCACGGUGGAGGCCGGGAUCACGGACUAGCGUCCGCAUCACGGGCGGCUGCACGCGAUAAUAGGAGAGGCGGUCAUCUGUGCUAACAUGAGGUCAAUUGCAAGUCUUUCAAGUCCCAGCACCUCAUAGUUAUGAUAUGGUCAAAUUAGAUUUUCCCAAAAUUCUUUCCCAAAAGCACAAAGAAAUUGGACCCGAUUCGGACCCGACCCCGACUCGGACCCGACCCGAUCUUC